Callithrix jacchus (white-tufted-ear marmoset) is the source of this 1751-nucleotide non-coding RNA. The record is from RefSeq and is a predicted model, not a curated record. NCBI's taxonomy places the organism in Eukaryota, Metazoa, Chordata, Mammalia, Primates, Cebidae.
UAGUUGCAGGUUGCAGGUUGCAGGGGGAGAGCAAUUAGUUGAGGCAGGAACAAGUUGUUUCACUUCUUUCCCUGGCCAUCUGGGUACUUGUGUUUACUUCAGACUUUCUGGCUUCUGGGGACCAUUCAGAGGUGUAUGUGCGGGUCACCAAGGCUAAAAUGGCCAGGCCUGGACUUGGAGGCCUGACACCUAGAAAGACUCAACCACAACAAGCAGCGAGGAAAUUUUCAUCUGUCCUCUGUGUGUCAAAUUUAUCUGCACACACUUUAAAUCUCUGGGUUUGCAUUCUCAAAUACCUGCUUGAAGGGGAAAGGUAUGUACACAGUGUUUGUGAUUUCAAGAAUGACUGGAUUAACUUGGUUUUUCACUCUCUUGGGAGUCAGAAGACAGAAACCAAGAGGCAGAGGCCAUAAUUCAUACUCAUGUCCCCAGCAGCUAUCAAAUAAGCAGUAGUUCAAUAAAUUGAAAGCAUGUACUUGGAGAAUCAAUAAAAGCUUCUGGGAAAAAAUGGAGUUUGAGCUGAGCCUUUGGGCAGGCAGGAUCUGCCAAGGCAAACAAGAAAAGAGCCUGGAUUUCUGGUGGUAAGAAAAUAUGAGCUAGGCAGGGAACCAGGGCAGAGCACAGGAUACACAGCUGGGUUAAGGAGGAAACUUGGCCCAGCGAAGCAGAGACUUGACCUUGGGAGUGGUGGGGAAGGUAACUACCAGAAGGUGGGCUAGAGGGCAAAGGAUCUCACAAUCCAAACAGAGGAGUUUACACCUGAUGAAAUGGAGAAUCUUGGAAGGUUUCUGAGGAGAUAACUGAUUGAUGAGGGCAACACUGAAAAUGAAGAACCUUGCAGGAUGGUGCCUGGCAUAGAUCCUCUAAGCAGAGAGCCAAGUAAGAGCCUCCUGGGGAAACCCAGACUUAGGAUGACACAUCUGGACUUGGUGAUGGCAGAGGAAAUGUCUGAGAUGGGCUUGAAGAAAGAUUUCAGUGGAAGAAACAUGAGCUGUGAUAUGUUAUCCAGUCUGGAAUGCAGUGAUGGUGAUCAAAACAUCAGGGCAGCCUUCAACUCCUGGACUCAAGCAAUCCUCCUGCCUUAGCCUCCCAGAUACCUAGGACUACAGAUCUACAAGCAAAACAUUUGGGGGCACAGGGCCUUACUUCGUUAUCUGGAAAAUCGCCAUUGUCCACAUCCAAGAGACCCUGGUGAGGCCGUAUCUGCUUGAACAUCAUUCAUGACUGUGAGAGAAGUGGUGAUUAACUUACCUUGAAAUCAUACUGUUUAUCUUCAGAUAAUGAUGAAGGUCAUAGUGAUUCAGAGUCCAAACUCUGAAGCAAGAUGACCUGAGUCUAAAUCUUUCCUCUGCAACUUACUGCUGUAUUUUAAACUUGGUUCUUGGGUUGUUGCCGUUUGGAGGGAGGGUACUACUUAGGAUAGUUUAAGCACGUUGAUCAUAUCAAGCUGGAAAUAGAAUUGCUCACUAAGUUGUGGAUACUGGCCCCUGCCCUGAUUCCUCUGCUGUUGAUUCCCCAGCUCCCCUAACACCAUUUUAUAUUCAUGAAUCUCUUUGUAUAAUAUAUUGAUUCAGCUGCAUUAUUUGUCAGGUUGUCUGGCACCGUGCUAGGCUAUAGAGAUACAAAGGCAACAAAUUAUGGACUAUCUUAAAGGGUGGAUAAAUAUAUGUAGGGGACAGAGACUUGCAAACAAAUGCAUUCGUCAAAAUGUUAAUUAGGCCAGGCGUGGUGGCUCAUGCCUGUAAUCCAAG